Choloepus didactylus (southern two-toed sloth) is the source of this 1166-nucleotide long non-coding RNA. RefSeq lists it as uncharacterized. Lineage: Eukaryota; Metazoa; Chordata; Mammalia; Pilosa; Megalonychidae. The record is from RefSeq and is a predicted model, not a curated record. The transcript is spliced from 3 exons.
UGCCGCCGCCCGGCGACUCAAGGGCGACUGAGCAUGCUCCGAACGCCUGUCAACGCUAUUCUGGAUACUUGCCCUGUAGCUCUGAGUGCUCCACUUCGUAUUUUAGUUGUGGCGAAGAGAGAAAGCCAAAAGGCAGGUAGAAAGAUCUGUUGUUCCAGAUCGGUCGUGACACGCUUUCUCCGAGGUAUUUUCGCGCCUAACUAGGAACCAGUUUAGAACAUGUUUUUUUGGAAAUGUUGGAAAGAAGAAGGGUUGGAAAUAAACGUUUGAGUAACUGCAAAGGUUGAGCCCCUUUGAUGUCUUUAAAGGUUAAAUUGCUACUUAGAGAAAAAGAAACUGUCCAGGGGAAUAAAGAAUGAAGCAUUACCGACCAUCUAGACAUCCUGCAGAACAUCAUAGUGAUCCAUUAUGUUGAUACCAUUAUAAUUAUCAGACUGGAUGAACAAGAGGUAGCAGCACACUGGAGUACUGGAUCCAUAUUCUUCAGUGGGAGAGAGAUUAACUCAGUGAAAUUCAGGAGCCUCCUACUUCUGUAAAAUUUUCAGAUAUCCAGUGGUUUUUAGAUAAUGGAAUAUCUCCUACAAAGUAAGUAUAACUUAUUACACUUUGCUUCACCCACCAUGAAAAAGAAAGCAUACAAAGGCAGUGAAAAAUGACCUGGCUGCUGGUCAGAUGCCUGGAAGGAAAUAGAUUGAAAGAUUAGGGACAACAGUGUCUGGAGUAGAGGUAUGUGGAUGGAUGUAGGGGAGUGGCCAUAAAAUGUGAAGAUGCAUAUACCACAUGUUAAUGCCCAACAGAGAGCAUCCACCACAGAAGAGUCACUAAACAACCAAUACUCAAAGUAACCAGUAUGUUGAUGUCAACCAGUUUCUGUCAUCUGCCACUCCAGUGCAUGUAUGAAGGACACAUAAAAUAAAUGGCCAUAAGACACAGAUGGAGGUUAUAGAUGGGACCAAAAGCAUGGACUCUGACUUAUCAAGGCUGGUCUAGGUGUUGCCUCUGCCAAGUAUUCAGUCUGCCAGCAGUAGGGACCAAUGCUGAGGCUUGAUGUGGCACCAUUCCUCACGCGGGCUGUGGUGGUUUGAAGCUGUGGGUGCUCCAGAAAGACAUGUUCUUGUAUUUAAUCCAUCCCUGUGGGUGUGGACCCAUUGUAAGUUGUACCUUUU